UAUAGUAGAGGCGCGGGAUUUAUGAUUACGCAGAUUGAUGCAUGUGGUUGCAAUUGAUUUCUGCCGAAAGGAUUGACCGCCGAAGUUGUGGAUUUGCCACGGGGUUCACUGCUGGUUGUACAGUUAAUAGCUGUAUGACUGUCAUCGAUAUACAGAGAUGGAGAGCUACUUA
Molecule: non-coding RNA, 172 nt
Filed under: uncultured Coprococcus sp.
Lineage: Bacteria; Bacillati; Bacillota; Clostridia; Lachnospirales; Lachnospiraceae
Description: Lysine riboswitch
Rfam family: Lysine riboswitch aptamer
About the family: Riboswitches are metabolite binding domains within certain messenger RNAs that serve as precision sensors for their corresponding targets. Allosteric rearrangement of mRNA structure is mediated by ligand binding, and this results in modulation of gene expression.
Source: RNAcentral